This 917-nucleotide ribosomal RNA is filed under the name uncultured archaeon. RNAcentral describes it as "bacterial SSU rRNA". It matches the Rfam family "Archaeal small subunit ribosomal RNA", at positions 5 to 923 of the family's 1478-position model. The record is from RNAcentral.
UGGUUGAUCCUGCCAGAGGCCAUUGCUAUCGGAGUCCGAUUUAGCCAUGCUAGUCGCACGAGUUUAGACUCGUGGCGAACAGCUCAGUGACACGUGGCCAAACUACCCUGUGGACCAGGAUAACCUCGGGAAACUGAGGCUAAUCCUGGAUACAGCUUCCGGCCUGGAACGGCGGAAGCUGGAAACGUUUCGGCGCCACAGGAUGUGGCUGCGGCCGAUUAGGUUGACGGUGGGGUAACGGCCCACCGUGCCGAUAAUCGGUACGGGUCAUGAGAGUGAGAGCCCGGAGACGGUAUCUGAGACAAGAUACCGGGCCCUACGGGGCGCAGCAGGCGCGAAACCUUUACACUGCACGACAGUGCGAUAGGGGGACUCCGAGUGCGAGGGCAUACAGUCCUCGCUUUUCUGUACCGUAAGGUGGUACAGGAACAAGGGCUGGGCAAGACCGGUGCCAGCCGCCGCGGUAAUACCGGCAGCCCGAGUGAUGGCCGAUAUUAUUGGGCCUAAAGCGUCCGUAGCCGGCCGGACAAGUCCGUUGGGAAAUCGACGUGCCUAACGCGUCGGCGUCCAGCGGAAACUGUUCGGCUUGGGACCGGAAGACCCGAGGGGUACGUCCGGGGUAGGAGUGAAAUCCCGUAAUCCUGGACGGACCGCCGGUGGCGAAAGCGCCUCGGGAGGACGGAUCCGACGGUGAGGGACGAAAGCCAGGGUCUCGAACCGGAUUAGAUACCCGGGUAGUCCUGGCCGUAAACGAUGCCCGCUAGGUGUGGCGCAGGCUACGAGCCUGCGCUGUGCCGUAGGGAAGCCGUGAAGCGGGCCGCCUGGGAAGUACGUCCGCAAGGAUGAAACUUAAAGGAAUUGGCGGGGGAGCACUACAACCGGAGGAGCCUGCGGUUUAAUUGGAUUCAACGCCGGAA